GAUGAACGCUGGCGGCGUGCCUAAUACAUGCAAGUCGAGCGAACAGACGAGGAGCUUGCUCCUCUGACGUUAGCGGCGGACGGGUGUGUAACACGUGGAUAACCUACCUAUAAGACUGGGAUAACUUCGGGAAACCGGAGCUAAUACCGGAUAAUAUAUUGAACCGCAUGGUUCAAUAGUGAAAGACGGUUUUGCUGUCACUUAUAGAUGGAUCCGCGCCGCAUUAGCUAGUUGGUAAGGUAACGGCUUACCAAGGCAACGAUGCGUAGCCGACCUGAGAGGGUGAUCGGCCACACUGGACCUGAGCCACGGUCCAGACUCCUACGGGAGGCAGCAGUAGGGAAUCUUCCGCAAUGGGCGAAAGCCUGACGGAGCAACGCCGCGUGAGUGAUGAAGGUCUUCGGAUCGUAAAACUCUGUUAUUAGGGAAGAACAAAUGUGUAAGUAACUAUGCACGUCUUGACGGUACCUAAGCAGAAAGCCACGGCUAACUACGU
Molecule: ribosomal RNA, 496 nt
Filed under: uncultured bacterium
Lineage: Bacteria
Description: partial 16S ribosomal RNA
Rfam family: Bacterial small subunit ribosomal RNA
Source: RNAcentral